AGUGAACGCUGGCGGUAGGCCUAACACAUGCAAGUCGAACGGCAGCACAGUAAGAGCUUGCUCUUACGGGUGGCGAGUGGCGGACGGGUGAGGAAUACAUCGGAAUCUACUUUUUCGUGGGGGAUAACGUAGGGAAACUUACGCUAAUACCGCAUACGACAUACGGUUGAAAGCAGGGGAUUUUCGGACCUUGCGCGAUUGAAUGAGCCGAUGUCGGAUUAGUUAGUUGGGGGGGUAAAGGCCCACCAAGGCGACGAUCCGUAGCUGGUCUGAGAGGAUGAUCAGCCACACUGGAACUGAGACACGGUCCAGACUCCUACGGGAGGCAGCAGUGGGGAAUAUUGGACAAUGGGCGCAAGCCUGAUCCAGCCAUACCGCGUUGGUGAAGAAGGCCUUCGGGUUGUAAAGCCCUUUUGUUGGGAAAGAAAAGCAGCAGGUUAAUACCCCGCUGUUCUGACGGUACCCAAAGAAUAAGCACCGGCUAACUUCGUG
Molecule: ribosomal RNA, 492 nt
Filed under: uncultured bacterium
Lineage: Bacteria
Description: partial 16S ribosomal RNA
Rfam family: Bacterial small subunit ribosomal RNA
Source: RNAcentral